GUUGGGCACUUUAAAGAGACUGCCGGUGUUAAACCGGAGGAAGGUGGGAUGACGUCAAGUCCUCAUGGCCUUUAUGCUUAGGGCUACACACGUGCUACAAUGGGUGGUACAAAGAGAAGCCAACUCGCGAGAGCGCGCCAAUCUCAAAAAGCCAUCCUCAGUUCGGAUUGGAGUCUGCAACUCGACUCCAUGAAGUUGGAAUCGCUAGUAAUCGCGGAUCAGCAUGCCGCGGUGAAUACGUUCCCGGGCCUU
RNAcentral lists this ribosomal RNA (252 nucleotides) under uncultured Smithella sp. RNAcentral describes it as "partial 16S ribosomal RNA". It matches the Rfam family "Bacterial small subunit ribosomal RNA", at positions 1130 to 1382 of the family's 1533-position model. The record is from RNAcentral. Lineage: Bacteria; Pseudomonadati; Thermodesulfobacteriota; Syntrophia; Syntrophales; Smithellaceae.